GAGAAGCAAAGCCUCACAGCGCUUCAAGCCACCUCCCACAGUACAUAAUGUGAAAGCAUGUUAGGCCCAGAGCUCAGACGUGGGAGUCUGCGAGAGAAUGGCAGCUCCAAGAUGAAGGCAGGAAUGUGAGAUGCCAGCUCCUUCAGGAUUGAACAGCUUUAUAUAAACUAACAGAGAGGGCAAGUUUAUGAAGUGGAGACAGGAUCUAAUUCUGUACUCAGGAGACGUGUCCUGGAGGACCAGCUCUGCUGCUGGUGGGGGCUGCUGUGCUUCUGCUGAGCUCAGUUGCUGCCACCUGACAGCAUCUGAAGAGCUGGUUGG
Molecule: long non-coding RNA, 321 nt
Filed under: Junco hyemalis (dark-eyed junco)
Lineage: Eukaryota; Metazoa; Chordata; Aves; Passeriformes; Passerellidae
Description: lncRNA (ENSJHYG00000002002.1)
Source: RNAcentral